RNAcentral lists this ribosomal RNA (2924 nucleotides) under Escherichia coli. RNAcentral describes it as "bacterial LSU rRNA". It matches the Rfam family "Bacterial large subunit ribosomal RNA". Lineage: Bacteria; Pseudomonadati; Pseudomonadota; Gammaproteobacteria; Enterobacterales; Enterobacteriaceae. The record is from RNAcentral.
GGGUUGUGAGGUUAAGCGACUAAGCGUACACGGUGGAUGCCCUGGCAGUCAGAGGCGAUGAAGGACGUGCUAAUCUGCGAUAAGCGUCGGUAAGGUGAUAUGAACCGUUAUAACCGGCGAUUUCCGAAUGGGGAAACCCAGUGUGAUUCGUCACACUAUCAUUAACUGAAUCCAUAGGUUAAUGAGGCGAACCGGGGGAACUGAAACAUCUAAGUACCCCGAGGAAAAGAAAUCAACCGAGAUUCCCCCAGUAGCGGCGAGCGAACGGGGAGCAGCCCAGAGCCUGAAUCAGUGUGUGUGUUAGUGGAAGCGUCUGGAAAGGCGCGCGAUACAGGGUGACAGCCCCGUACACAAAAAUGCACAUGCUGUGAGCUCGAUGAGUAGGGCGGGACACGUGGUAUCCUGUCUGAAUAUGGGGGGACCAUCCUCCAAGGCUAAAUACUCCUGACUGACCGAUAGUGAACCAGUACCGUGAGGGAAAGGCGAAAAGAACCCCGGCGAGGGGAGUGAAAAAGAACCUGAAACCGUGUACGUACAAGCAGUGGGAGCACGCUUAGGCGUGUGACUGCGUACCUUUUGUAUAAUGGGUCAGCGACUUAUAUUCUGUAGCAAGGUUAACCGAAUAGGGGAGCCGAAGGGAAACCGAGUCUUAACUGGGCGUUAAGUUGCAGGGUAUAGACCCGAAACCCGGUGAUCUAGCCAUGGGCAGGUUGAAGGUUGGGUAACACUAACUGGAGGACCGAACCGACUAAUGUUGAAAAAUUAGCGGAUGACUUGUGGCUGGGGGUGAAAGGCCAAUCAAACCGGGAGAUAGCUGGUUCUCCCCGAAAGCUAUUUAGGUAGCGCCUCGUGAAUUCAUCUCCGGGGGUAGAGCACUGUUUCGGCAAGGGGGUCAUCCCGACUUACCAACCCGAUGCAAACUACGAAUACCGGAGAAUGUUAUCACGGGAGACACACGGCGGGUGCUAACGUCCGUCGUGAAGAGGGAAACAACCCAGACCGCCAGCUAAGGUCCCAAAGUCAUGGUUAAGUGGGAAACGAUGUGGGAAGGCCCAGACAGCCAGGAUGUUGGCUUAGAAGCAGCCAUCAUUUAAAGAAAGCGUAAUAGCUCACUGGUCGAGUCGGCCUGCGCGGAAGAUGUAACGGGGCUAAACCAUGCACCGAAGCUGCGGCAGCGACGCUGAUGCGUUGUUGGGUAGGGGAGCGUUCUGUAAGCCUGCGAAGGUGUGCUGUGAGGCAUGCUGGAGGUAUCAGAAGUGCGAAUGCUGACAUAAGUAACGAUAAAGCGGGUGAAAAGCCCGCUCGCCGGAAGACCAAGGGUUCCUGUCCAACGUUAAUCGGGGCAGGGUGAGUCGACCCCUAAGGCGAGGCCGAAAGGCGUAGUCGAUGGGAAACAGGUUAAUAUUCCUGUACUUGGUGUUACUGCGAAGGGGGACGGAGAAGGCUAUGUUGGCCGGGCGACGGUUGUCCCGGUUUAAGCGUGUAGGCUGGUUUUCCAGGCAAAUCCGGAAAAUCAAGGCUGAGGCGUGAUGACGAGGCACUACGGUGCUGAAGCAACAAAUGCCCUGCUUCCAGGAAAAGCCUCUAAGCAUCAGGUAACAUCAAAUCGUACCCCAAACCGACACAGGUGGUCAGGUAGAGAAUACCAAGGCGCUUGAGAGAACUCGGGUGAAGGAACUAGGCAAAAUGGUGCCGUAACUUCGGGAGAAGGCACGCUGAUAUGUAGGUGAAGUCCCUCGCGGAUGGAGCUGAAAUCAGUCGAAGAUACCAGCUGGCUGCAACUGUUUAUUAAAAACACAGCACUGUGCAAACACGAAAGUGGACGUAUACGGUGUGACGCCUGCCCGGUGCCGGAAGGUUAAUUGAUGGGGUUAGCGCAAGCGAAGCUCUUGAUCGAAGCCCCGGUAAACGGCGGCCGUAACUAUAACGGUCCUAAGGUAGCGAAAUUCCUUGUCGGGUAAGUUCCGACCUGCACGAAUGGCGUAAUGAUGGCCAGGCUGUCUCCACCCGAGACUCAGUGAAAUUGAACUCGCUGUGAAGAUGCAGUGUACCCGCGGCAAGACGGAAAGACCCCGUGAACCUUUACUAUAGCUUGACACUGAACAUUGAGCCUUGAUGUGUAGGAUAGGUGGGAGGCUUUGAAGUGUGGACGCCAGUCUGCAUGGAGCCGACCUUGAAAUACCACCCUUUAAUGUUUGAUGUUCUAACGUGGACCCGUAAUCCGGGUUGCGGACAGUGUCUGGUGGGUAGUUUGACUGGGGCGGUCUCCUCCUAAAGAGUAACGGAGGAGCACGAAGGUUGGCUAAUCCUGGUCGGACAUCAGGAGGUUAGUGCAAUGGCAUAAGCCAGCUUGACUGCGAGCGUGACGGCGCGAGCAGGUGCGAAAGCAGGUCAUAGUGAUCCGGUGGUUCUGAAUGGAAGGGCCAUCGCUCAACGGAUAAAAGGUACUCCGGGGAUAACAGGCUGAUACCGCCCAAGAGUUCAUAUCGACGGCGGUGUUUGGCACCUCGAUGUCGGCUCAUCACAUCCUGGGGCUGAAGUAGGUCCCAAGGGUAUGGCUGUUCGCCAUUUAAAGUGGUACGCGAGCUGGGUUUAGAACGUCGUGAGACAGUUCGGUCCCUAUCUGCCGUGGGCGCUGGAGAAUUGAGGGGGGCUGCUCCUAGUACGAGAGGACCGGAGUGGACGCAUCACUGGUGUUCGGGUUGUCAUGCCAAUGGCACUGCCCGGUAGCUAAAUGCGGAAGAGAUAAGUGCUGAAAGCAUCUAAGCACGAAACUUGCCCCGAGAUGAGUUCUCCCUGACUCCUUGAGAGUCCUGAAGGAACGUUGAAGACGACGACGUUGAUAGGCCGGGUGUGUAAGCGCAGCGAUGCGUUGAGCUAACCGGUACUAAUGAACCGUGAGGCUUAACCUUACAACGCCGAAG